Molecule: transfer RNA, 69 nt
Filed under: Ilisha africana (West African ilisha)
Lineage: Eukaryota; Metazoa; Chordata; Actinopteri; Clupeiformes; Pristigasteridae
Description: tRNA-His
Rfam family: tRNA
About the family: Transfer RNA (tRNA) molecules are approximately 80 nucleotides in length. Their secondary structure includes four short double-helical elements and three loops (D, anti-codon, and T loops).
Source: RNAcentral
GUAAGCAUAAUUUAACAAAAAUGCUGGAUUGUGAUUCCAAAAACAGGGGUUUAAACCCCCUUGCUUACC